GAACAGGUCUCCGAUCCCUAGGCUAUAUUUACUCUUCUGCCCCUAUAUCUUCGUAACAGUAAGCUUCUACCCAUUUCCAUUAAUGCCCCUGUCGUCCUCUCGAAACUGCUUUCGUCUUCUACGUGUCGUCGCCGGAAAACGCCACCUCAGCCUUAGCGACGAAGUUAUCCGAAUUCGUCACUUCUAAAUUUAGAGAGAGAGAGAGAAAAAAAGAGAGAGAUCGCACACAGAAGUGUGCGUUGAUUCAUGAACGACUAUGAAUUUCAAAAUUGUAAUAUCAUAUGUGCUGUAUUUAAUAAUGGUUGCUCUGAUAAGCAUGGACUGAUCCAUUCCAUUGUUAUGAAGUUCGACGGUGUUUUUGUUUUGCCGCUCUCUUCUUCUUCUUCUUCUUCGCAGUUCUUAUGCAUUGUUCGCUUGAUUGAUCUCCAUCAGAGCUUCGAUUGCUAUUUAAAUGGCGAAAUGCAGCACUGCUCGACACUUUUUUAGGUUAACCAGUCUUCAGAUUGGAGACUUGCAAUCGUAUCUUUCAGAUCUUAGCCUCUUCUUAGCACCUGAUAGCAAGACAUUCUAUGUAUUGGUAGAUAACAGACCAUGGCUGCAAGACUUAGUAUCACGUCCUGCACACCUGUGGCAAUUAAUGGUUACCAAGUCUCGGAUGUCCCCUUUCGCGAUCAGAAGAGCAAGAAACGACAGGAAAGACACCACCCAAAAUUUCAACGAGUUGAAGUUCUCUUCUGAAACUUCAACUUCAACCCCAUCUGAAAAUCUGAGAAGAUGGUUCCUGGUGAUUGAUGCUGCAAUUCUCUCAAGAAAAAGGGCCCUGCUACCUGUUGAGAAGCUUAGAACUUCCUUGCUUGCAAGUAGCAAACUGCAUAGAACCUUAUAUGGAUUCAUCGUUUUUGAAGUCGCCUGGAAAGAUGUACGUGGCAUCAAUUACUUGAAUGAACUUCAGACUGAUACUUGUCUUGCCAUAGAAGCAAAACAUAUGAGAAGAUGGGAAUUCGAUAGUAUAUCUCAAGCUGCUAAAGGCAUAACUUCAUGGUUUCCAGGGACACCAAGUGAGUGUUCUCUUUUAAAACAGCAACUCAACUCCAUGAAUGUUGAGACUGAUUCUCAAAGCAACUCAUGUGAAGAGGUAGAUGAAGCUACUGAAUACAUGGACGCAUUACUUAUAUUUCGUUUCAAUGAUCAUGAUCUUCCUUUCGAAUUACAAGACAUAAUUAUGCCAGACUUGCGAUUGCUUACUUUAUUAGAAGCUGGACUUCCAUCUUGGGUUAUCUUCUUUCAAUCCUACCCAGUAUUCUGCCAUAUAUAUCGGCCAUGGAUGUGCCCUCUAGCAAGAUUUUUAUACGUGGCAAUUUCAAUUGUUACAGUUGUGAUUGGCUUCUAUGAUUUGUAUAAAAACAUCCCUCUUCUUAAAGCAACCGCAUCCCGUUUAUGUGGGCCACUUUUUGGGUGGAUAGAAACAUGGGAGAUGGUGUCACGAAUCAAGUAUUUGGGGACUAUGUUGUUUUUGCAUAACUCUCAGAAAGCAGUCAAGUGGUUCUUGAUGAUGACGUGUACUCUACAAUCACAUGUUUCAUUUCUGACUCGGCCAUUAAUGGUUGUUUUGGAGGCCCUUCUUCCCAUUUGGAACAUAUUCAUACAGACGGGGGAUUAUUUUUUCUCUUUCGUUUGGAUUCUGAUGACAACAUUUUGGAAUACAUUUGAGAAUCUAAUCGAUAUCAUAUUGCUUCCUGUUUAUUUCAUCGCAUCGAUCAUUUGGAUUAUUGCAACAGCGAUCUUGUACCCGGUAUUUUGGUUUGUUUGGGGGAUAGUGUGUGCUCCAGUUCACCUUGUUGUUGGGGUAUCGAAUUUUGUGGGAUUUAUGUUUAACCAUAUGUAUAAUUUGAGUGGAGUUAUAUGGAUUUUUGUGAGUGGUAUAUUUAAGGUGGCUUCCAAUGCUGAAACAGCUGCUAGCACUUAUGAAGUUUCCAUGUGGCGUGCUCUUUGGAAUGAUCUUUUCUCUCAGAUUUUUCGUGCUGUUCGGAGCAUUUUGAAUGGGUUUGUUGCAUUUUUCACAGCUUGCAAUAGGCAUCGACUAAGCAUAUAUAAUCAUGUACAAGAGUUAAUUAGAAGACUUGAUCAGCCAAUUACAGGGAGGUCACGCCUCUUGAAUUCCAUACAAAGAGUGAAGAAGUCAGGAAGCAAGACACUGGUGGAAAGCAUGGAUAGAAGGAGGGGAUUGGUUGCUAAAAACAUAAAACAGUGUUGACAAGUAACUAAAUGUUGUAUACAAAGAAACACCAUUGAUAUAAAGAUCGAGGAGGUUUGUUAUGAAAGACGAAAUUGGUAAAGACAAUAUCAGGCAGCUUGUUGUGUUGAAUAUUUUUGGGCUAACAACAAGAAGGCGUGAUUUUGGAGACGAAAUUGGUUUAGUCCGUUUAGACUAGGGAUGAGCAUACGACCCGUGGGACCGGACCCGGACCGAACCGGAUUAUCAUAUUAAUGGGCUGGUUUUCGGGUUUGGUUUUUAUCAAUAAUCGGGUUUCGGGUUUGGAUCGGACCAUACCUGAAUUAAAGGAUUUAACCCGGGCCGGACCGGAAAACCAAAAAUUAUUUUCUUUUUUUAUCGACAAACAGUAAGCGAGAGUUACUAAAAUAAAAAAAAAUAUUGUCCGAUUGAAUUGAUUCGGCCUCUCCUGUGGAUCACAUUAUAGUGUCAAUUUUUUUUUGUUUCGACCUCUUCUCUUGAUCGUAUUAUGGUGUUGAUUUUUUUCUCGAAAAACCAAAAGUUAUUUCCUACUACAUUUUUUUUUAAUAAAAAUAGUGCAGUUUUUUUUAAAUAGUAUUUUUUAAUAAAAAUAAUGUUGUUAAGUGUAAA
Molecule: non-coding RNA, 2863 nt
Organism: Lactuca sativa (garden lettuce)
Lineage: Eukaryota; Viridiplantae; Streptophyta; Magnoliopsida; Asterales; Asteraceae
Source: RefSeq, a predicted model, not a curated record